CGACAGCGGCAGACGCUCUGCACGUGCAGGGUCUGCACGCGCGGACCAUGGGGGCUCUCGGCGAGCUGGUGACGGCCCUGCUGGAGGAAGACCUCAGCUCGGACUGGCUCGCGGAGAUGCUGCAUGUGCUGGAGUACUGGCUCACCUCGGCCAAGGAGUGGGAGCGGGAGAGGGCCCUGCAGGCCUGCGCCCA
Dromaius novaehollandiae (emu) is the source of this 193-nucleotide long non-coding RNA. RefSeq lists it as uncharacterized. The transcript is spliced from 3 exons. NCBI's taxonomy places the organism in Eukaryota, Metazoa, Chordata, Aves, Casuariiformes, Dromaiidae. The record is from RefSeq and is a predicted model, not a curated record.